UAGCUCAGUGGUAGAGCACUUGCCUAGCAAGUGCAAGGCCCUGGGUUCGAUCCCCAG
Molecule: transfer RNA, 57 nt
Filed under: Rattus norvegicus (Norway rat)
Lineage: Eukaryota; Metazoa; Chordata; Mammalia; Rodentia; Muridae
Rfam family: tRNA
About the family: Transfer RNA (tRNA) molecules are approximately 80 nucleotides in length. Their secondary structure includes four short double-helical elements and three loops (D, anti-codon, and T loops).
Source: Rfam by way of RNAcentral